This is a long non-coding RNA of Cyanistes caeruleus (blue tit), 1788 nucleotides long. The record is from Ensembl. NCBI's taxonomy places the organism in Eukaryota, Metazoa, Chordata, Aves, Passeriformes, Paridae.
AACCUAUCCAGAGUCUGGAUCCACAUCACUUCCAAAGUCCUGGAGCGUUGGAUCCCCUUCAAAAAGCCUUCUUUUGGGUGUGUGGGCUGGGAUUCAGCCUCUUCUCCAUUCCUUAGGCAAAGAUGAGUCUUCCUUUGCAUAUUUCAUGCCGUGUUCAUCCGUUGCCUGUCAGGAUUCUCGGGGAACUUGGCUCCUUCACCGGGGAGUUUGAAUCAUGACUUUUUGCCUUCUUUGUGCUGCAGGGGAAGAGCAGAUUGGAGGCAGAGAAAUCGGAUUUAUUUGGCUCUUCCAGAGGUGCUGCUGGCUGUGCUGGUCAGAGCCCAGCUCUGCUGGUGGGUCAGGUGUUGAUUUUCCAAAGUGAUUUUAUUACUGAGCACAAUUUCUGCUCUAAAUGGAGGUGAGCGGUUUUCUUUUCUGAGCCGUGACCCUGCAGUAGAAACUGAACCCCAGAUGGCCCUGCAGAGGCAGCAGCAGAUUUCAACGAGGGGAUUUUGUGUCCUGCAGGUCACCCAGAGGUGUCAGGGGUUGUCAGGGCUUUGUCUCUCCCUGUUCCCAGGUGGAAGGUUGGGAUUUGGGGCACCUCGGUGGAGUCCUCACCGUGGACCUGAACACAGGGUCAAAAAUUCCACUGAUUUGGAUUAAACACGAGGCACAAAGAAGUUUUUCCUUGGAUUAACCUGCAGCUCUGCCGGUCCUCAGCAGCAAUGUGUGACAAAUGGAUUCCUGGAGCCUGUGGAAGCUGCCAGGCUGGGGCCACCCAGACAAUUCCCAGGAACACCUGGGACUGUCCGUGGCACCGAGGUCUCCUCAGGAAAUUCUGGCUUGGAUUGGAACACUGGGCCCAAAGAGAUGGCGACACGACUGAGAGCAGACCCAAAUCUCCCGGAUCUUUCCAGAGGGCUGGAGAUCAUCCUGUGCCACAGAGGGGCUGCAGGUGCUCGGUAUCUCUGCAAACCAGGCUGCUGCGCUGGGAUUUCCAUCAAGUGCCAAAUCUGCAAGGGAUUUUUAUUUUGGUUUUUUUGUGUGUGUGUGUGAACAACCUGUCCUUUGCUCGUGGCUCCUUGGCUCUGUCCCCUGGAUCCUGGAGCGCUCCCGAUAACUCGUGUUUUUCCCUUGCUCCAGUGGAGCAAACAGCUCAGUGGAGGCUCCAGGAGUGUCUUCUCCAAGUGCUGUAGCUCAGAGCGAUGUCACUUGAAUGGCUCUUAAAAUUAGGUCUGUCUGGGAGAGAAUCAUUUAAAUUCCACCGUUAAAACUCCUGGUGAUUGAGAACAAACGAAACUGCUGUGGAGGCUUCAGGAACUCACUAAUGGCUGGAAAGAAGAGGGUCAGGGUCUGGUUGGGAAUCGUUUAAAACCCUUCCCUCCCCAUUACUCACUCUUUAAGUGACACCUUGAUAGUUGCACGAGAGUAGUUAAACAUGAAUUGUUAAUACCACCAGCUUUUGUAGGGAAGGCUCUUUUUGCUCCCAAAUGAAGCUGAUUUAUUUUUGUGCUGGUUCCCACCAGUUGUCGAAGCCAUUAAAUAUCCUUAAUUGCCUGGAAAUGGAUUCACAUAAUAGAGUCCUGGUAAUUCAGAGAUCUGGGAGCUGGGGCGUUGGUGUUUCAGUCAGGGCUCCCUCGGGAAUGACGAGCCUGAAAUCACCCAGUGCCUCUCGUUCCCUGGCUUUUGAUGGAUCAGCAGCAGAGGUUCUGCAGUCUGGCUGCCAUCACCCUCAGAGGAGCAGCUGGAGAGCUCACCAGCUGUGUUUCUGUGUGUGCUGAAAUAAAAAAAAACACCUUGGGACUUCCA